CGUAGGCUAACCGCAAGGAGGCCGCCUACCACGGUACGCUUCAUGACUGGGUG
Molecule: ribosomal RNA, 53 nt
Filed under: uncultured bacterium
Lineage: Bacteria
Description: partial 16S ribosomal RNA
Source: RNAcentral